UCAGAAUUGCAUAGAUUUACUGUUUUAACCUGAAAUCCUGUCAUUUAUUUACUUCUUUUAUUUUUGUUGGAGAGGAUUUUACAGUUGUUGAUGUUUGGAGGACAUGGGACUGGUGGAUGGUUGAGUCGUUAUGAUAUCUAUUACAAUGACUGCAUUAUAUUAGACAGAGUUUCAGCACAGUGGAAACGGCUCUCCAUAGGCAGUGAACCCCCUCCUGCUAGAGCGUACCACUCUAUGUCAGUUGUUGGAUCACGGUAUUUGCUAAUUGGUGGUUUUGAUGGGAAAACGACUUAUGGUGAUCCAUGAUGGUUAGUCCCUCAAGAAGAUCCAAUUGCAAAUAGAUUAACUGCAUCUCCACCCAGAAAUAUUCCUGAAAGUAAGGAAUUUGCUUUCAACGAUGAUUUUCAACCUCAACUAAAGGAAAGCCAGACAGAGAAAUUUCCUUUCUCUGAAUUACAAAGACGGUUGCAAAUAUCAGUUUCCAGUUCCAGCCUUGAGAUUGUAAACGAGUUCGAAGAUAAAGAGCUGCUUGAAGUAGCAUCAAGAUUAGCAGGUGAAAACGUUUCUACUAAUUCACUGGCGAUCGAAACAAUUCGUAAACACUGGAGAAAGUCUGAACCAAAUAUGGUUAAACUCAAAGAGCUUGGACCAUUGCUUCGGGAUUACCAACGUCUUAUAUACAGGCACUAUCUAGAAAGGAGUGCAUCUGCCCAGACGCCUGGAUUUGGUGAACACGUGAUGUAUCAAUUUUACCACGUCAAAAAUGCUACUCAGUUGCGCAUGGACGAUAUUCCAAAACUUUUGGCAGAGUACAAACAGUUACCUAUAUGAAGAAUACUUGUUGUAUGAACAGUUUCUAAUUUAUACCGAACGCAAAGCAUGGGUCACAAAUAAUACGUUAUUUAUGUACAUUAACCUUUUAAUAAUUAUCAACAUUUCAAUAUUUUUUCCCAUACUUUGGCACAUUCAGCCUCUAAAGUUAGCUAACUGAACAUUAUAGUAUAUUUUAACAGUUUUUUGAGAAAAAACAAUAUAUUAAAUUUGUAAUGGUAAUGUCUGUAGUGGUUUAUAUUAUUUGUUUUGCUACACAUGAACAUAUCUAAAGAUCCAGGAGUGUAAGUGAUCCAGAUUAUGUUAAAUUUGUUCUAAUUUUUCACUUAA
Vigna umbellata (rice bean) is the source of this 1161-nucleotide non-coding RNA. Lineage: Eukaryota; Viridiplantae; Streptophyta; Magnoliopsida; Fabales; Fabaceae. The record is from RefSeq and is a predicted model, not a curated record.